This 23-nucleotide non-coding RNA is filed under the name Rattus norvegicus (Norway rat). Lineage: Eukaryota; Metazoa; Chordata; Mammalia; Rodentia; Muridae. The record is from RNAcentral.
UUCUUCUGAACGGUAGAAAAUAG